Molecule: long non-coding RNA, 447 nt
Filed under: Anser brachyrhynchus (Pink-footed goose)
Lineage: Eukaryota; Metazoa; Chordata; Aves; Anseriformes; Anatidae
Description: lncRNA (ENSABRG00000001664.1)
Source: RNAcentral
AUUUGCUUCUCUAUUUAAUUCAUCUCCUGUUGUGUUUCUUUCUUGCUGUCAUCUGAUGUUUGUAUUCUAUCCACAUAUCUUCCAGGUUACUGUCUAAAGUCUAUGCAGAAUGAAAGAAAAUUCUGACUAACUGCUGAGUGGGCCCUUCAGCUCAAAUUAAAUCACCCUGUGGUAUCAGAAAGAACCAAUUCUAAAGAGCAUCUAGAAUGUGUGACUUCCUAUUUUCUCCUUUUUCCAGAAAUGUUUCUCAAACAGUCACUUUCUGCAAAGAUCCAAGAACCAGAUGAAGCCACUGUUAGCCACUGAAAGACUGGCAAAGAAAUAAUUUUGUCAUCUGCUUCUGCAAAACUUCUUUCAGGUAGGCUUUUCCUGAAAGCAUUUGCUGAGCUGAUUAAGGUUACUCCUUGGUUGCUAAUGCAUUGCAGUAAGGUUCAGGUGGUAAAAAGC